RNAcentral lists this ribosomal RNA (301 nucleotides) under uncultured bacterium. Its description in RNAcentral is "partial 16S ribosomal RNA". It matches the Rfam family "Bacterial small subunit ribosomal RNA", at positions 509 to 807 of the family's 1533-position model. The record is from RNAcentral.
CAGUAGCCACGGGAAUACGGAGGAUCCAAGCGUUAUCCGGAAUCAUUGGGUUUAAAGGGUCCGUAGGCGGUCUUGUAAGUCAGUGGUGAAAGCCCAUCGCUCAACGGUGGAACGGCCAUUGAUACUGCAGGACUUGAAUUAUUGGGAAGUAACUAGAAUACGUAGUGUAGCGGUGAAAUGCUUAGAGAUUACAUGGAAUACCAAUUGCGAAGGCAGGUUACUACCAAUUGAUUGACGCUGAGGUACGAAAGCAUGGGGAGCAAACAGGAUUAGAUACCCGCGUAGUCCCUGUCUCUUAUAC